UGGGGGAUAUUGCACAAUGGGCGAAAGCCUGAUGCAGCGACGCCGCGUGGGGGAUGAAGGCCUUCGGGUUGUAAACUUCUUUUGCUCUGAACAAGGCGCACCAUGGGGUGUGUUGAGUGUAGGGGUUGAUUAGCGCCGGCUAACUACGUGCCAGCAGCCGCGGUAAUACGUAGGGCGCGAGCGUUGUCCGGAAUUAUUGGGCGUAAAGGGCUUGUAGGUGGCUGGUUGCGUCUGUCGUGAAAGCUCAUGGCUUAACUGUGGGUUUGCGGUGGGUACGGGCUGGCUUGAGUGCAGUAGGGGAGGCUGGAAUUCCUGGUGUAGCGGUGGAAUGCGCAGAUAUCUGGAGGAAUACCGGUGGCGAAGGCGGGUCUCUGGGCUGUUACUGACACUGAGGAGCGAAAGCAUGGGGAGCGAACAGG
This 419-nucleotide ribosomal RNA is filed under the name bacterium. Its description in RNAcentral is "partial 16S ribosomal RNA". It matches the Rfam family "Bacterial small subunit ribosomal RNA", at positions 355 to 776 of the family's 1533-position model. The record is from RNAcentral.